UACGUAGGGGGCAAGCGUUGUCCGGAUUUAUUGGGCGUAAAGAGCGUGUAGGCGGCCAAGCAGGUCAGCUGUGAAAACUCGAGGCUCAACCUCGAGACGUCGGUGGAAACCGUCUGGCUAGAGUCCGGAAGAGGAGAGUGGAAUUCCCGGUGUAGCGGUGAAAUGCGCAGAUAUCGGGAAGAACACCCGUGGCGAAGGCGGCUCUCUGGGACGGUACUGACGCUGAGACGCGAAAGCGUGGGGAGCGAACAGG
This 253-nucleotide ribosomal RNA is filed under the name uncultured bacterium. RNAcentral describes it as "partial 16S ribosomal RNA". It matches the Rfam family "Bacterial small subunit ribosomal RNA", at positions 524 to 776 of the family's 1533-position model. The record is from RNAcentral.